Molecule: long non-coding RNA, 1855 nt
Filed under: Lonchura striata (white-rumped munia)
Lineage: Eukaryota; Metazoa; Chordata; Aves; Passeriformes; Estrildidae
Description: domestica (Bengalese finch) lncRNA (ENSLSDG00000011242.1)
Source: RNAcentral
CUGCUGCUGCUGGGGGGGCUCUGCGUGGCCGCCUCGCGCCUGCGGCGGGCCAGGACCAGCCUCGUGCUCGGCGCCGGCAUCCUCUUCGUGGCCGCCGGUAUGACCCCCAAAUCCGCCCCAAAAUCCCCGAAAUCCACCCCAAAAUCCAUCCCAAAUCCAUCCCGGCAUCCUCUUCGUGGCCGCGGGUAUGACCCCCAAAUCCACCCCAAAAUCCCUGAAAUCCACCCCAAAAUCCAUCCCAAAAUCCAUCCCAAAAUCCAUCCCAAAAUCCAUCCCGGCAUCCUCUUUGUGGCCGCGGGUAUGACCCCCAAAUCCGCCCCAAAAUCCCCGAAAUCCAUCCCAAAAACCCCGAAAAUCCAUCCCAAAAUCCAUAAAAAAUCCAUCCCAAAAUCCAUCCCAAAAUCCAUCCCAAAAUCCAUCCCGGUAUCCUCUUCGUGGCCGCGGGUAUGAACCCCAAAUCCACCCCAAAAUCCCCGAAAUCCAUCCCAAAAACCCCGAAAAUCCAUCCCAAAAUCCCCAAAAUCCAUCCCAAAAUCCAUCCCAAAAUCCAUCCCAAAAUCCAUCCCGGCAUCCUCUUCGUGGCCGCGGGUAUGACCCCCAAAUCCGCCCCAAAUCCAUCCCAAAAACCCCGAAAAUCCAUCCCAAAAACCAUCAAAAUCCAUAAAAAAUCCAUCCCAAAAUCCAUCCUGAAAUCCAUCCAAAAACCCAUCCCAAAAUCCAUCCAAAAUCCAUCCCAAAAUCCAUCCCAAAAAACAUCAAAAUCCAUAAAAAAUCCAUCCCAAAAUCCAUCCCGAAAUCCAUCCCAAAAACCCCAAAAAUCCAUCCCAAAAUCCAUCCCAAAAAUCCAUCCCAAAAUCCAUCCAAAAUCCAUCCCAAAAACCCCAAAAAUCCAUCCGAGAAUCCAUCCAAAAUCCAUCCCCAAAAACCAUCAAAAUCCAUAAAAAAUCCAUCCCAAAAUCCAUCCCCGAAAUCCAUCUCAAAAACCAUCCCAAAAACCCCAAAAAUCCAUCCCAAAAUCCAUCCAAAAUCCAUCCCAAAAACCAUCCCAAAAACCCCGAAAUCCACCCAAAAUCCAUCCAAAAAUCCAUCCCAAAAAACUUCAAAAUCCACAAAAAAAUCCAUCCCAAAACCCAUCCCAAAACCCCCAAAAUCCAUCCCAAAAUUCAUCCCUUUUUUUUAAUUUUCCCCCAUUAAAAAAUCUUUUCCCCCCAUAUAUUUUUAAUUUCAAAUUUUUAAUUUCCCCCCAUUUUUUCCCCCCCAUUAACGAAUCAUUUAACCCCUUCGCUGCCAGGCCUGUCCAACAUCGCCGCCGCCAUCCUUUCCAUCAUUCCCCUUUUUUAAUAAUUUCCUUUACAUUUUCCCCCGAUUUUUUUAAUUUCUCCCCAUUUUUACCUCUUUAAUUAAUUUCCCCCCCCAUUAACGAGCCAUUUAACCCCUUCCUGGCCAGGCCUGUCCAACAUCGUCGGCGUCAUCGUUUACAUCAUUCCCCUUUUUUAACCAUUUCCUUUACAUUUCCCCCGAUUUUUUUAAUUUCUCCCCUUUUUUACCUCUUUAAUUAAUUCCCCCCCAUUAACGAAUCAUUUAACCCCUUCGCUGCCAGGCCUGUCCAACAUCGCCGCCGCCAUCCUUUCCAUCAUUCCCCUUUUUUAACCAUUUCCUUUACAUUUCCCCCGAUUUUUUUAAUUUCUCCCAUUUUUUACCUCUUUAAUUAAUUUCCCCCCCCAUUAACGAGCCAUUUAACCCCUUCGCUGCCAGGCCUGUCCAACAUCGUCGGCGUCAUCGUUUACAUCUCGGCCAACUCGGGCGAGGGCUCGGCGGGGGGGGUGGGCGCGGGCGGGGUCCCCUCCCCCCGGUA